This 253-nucleotide ribosomal RNA is filed under the name uncultured bacterium. Its description in RNAcentral is "partial 16S ribosomal RNA". It matches the Rfam family "Bacterial small subunit ribosomal RNA", at positions 524 to 776 of the family's 1533-position model. The record is from RNAcentral.
UACGUAGGUGGCAAGCGUUGUCCGGAUUUAUUGGGUUUAAAGGGUGCGUAGGCGGCUUUGUAAGUCAGUGGUGAAAUAUGGCAGCUUAACUGUCAAGGUGCCAUUGAUACUGCGGAGCUUGAGUACAGAUGAGGUAGGCGGAAUUGACGGUGUAGCGGUGAAAUGCUUAGAUAUGACACAGAACACCGAUUGCGAAGGCAGCUUGCUAAGCUGUAACUGACGCUGAUGCACGAAAGCGUGGGUAGCAAACAGG